GACGAACGCUGGCGGCGUGCCUAACACAUGCAAGUCGAACGGAGUUGAAAGGAGCUUGCUUUUUUCAACUCAGUGGCGGACGGGUGAGUAACGCGUGAGUAACCUGCCUUUCAGAGGGGGAUAACGUUCUGAAAAGAACGCUAAUACCGCAUAAGAUUGUAGCUUCGCAUGGAGUAGCAAUCAAAGGAGCAAUCCGCUGAAAGAUGGACUCGCGUCCGAUUAGAUAGUUGGCGGGGUAACGGCCCACCAAGUCGACGAUCGGUAGCCGGACUGAGAGGUUGAUCGGCCACAUUGGGACUGAGACACGGCCCAGACUCCUACGGGAGGCAGCAGUGAGGGAUAUUGGGCAAUGGGGGAAACCCUGACCCAGCAACGCCGCGUGAGGGAUGACGGUUUUCGGAUUGUAAACCUCUGUCCUCUGUGAAGAUAGUGACGGUAGCAGAGGAGGAAGCUCCGGCUAACUACGUGCCAGCAGCCGCGGUAAUACGUAGGGAGCAAGCGUUGUCCGGAUUUACUGGGUGUAAAGGGUGCGUAGGCGGAUUGGCAAGUCAGAAGUGAAAUCCAUGGGCUUAACCCAUGAACUGCUUUUGAAACUGUUAGUCUUGAGUGAAGUAGAGGUAGGCGGAAUUCCCGGUGUAGCGGUGAAAUGCGUAGAGAUCGGGAGGAACACCAGUGGCGAAGGCGGCCUACUGGGCUUUAACUGACGCUGAGGCACGAAAGUGUGGGUAGCAAACAAGAUUAGAUACCCUGGUAGUCCACACUGUAAACGAU
RNAcentral lists this ribosomal RNA (771 nucleotides) under uncultured bacterium. RNAcentral's name for it is "bacterial SSU rRNA". It matches the Rfam family "Bacterial small subunit ribosomal RNA", at positions 28 to 810 of the family's 1533-position model. The record is from RNAcentral.